Exaiptasia diaphana is the source of this 969-nucleotide long non-coding RNA. RefSeq lists it as uncharacterized. The transcript has 2 exons. NCBI's taxonomy places the organism in Eukaryota, Metazoa, Cnidaria, Anthozoa, Actiniaria, Aiptasiidae. The record is from RefSeq and is a predicted model, not a curated record.
UUCCCAUCAUGCUUUAUUGCACAAAGUGGUGUCGCUGCAGGCGAAUUGCCUAUUAAGUCGUAUGCAUCUAUGUACAUCUAGUAGGCGUGUAGAUGUAAAUGCGCGCAGUGGUGUUGCUGAACAUUGCCUUUUAGGUCGUAUGCAUCUAUGUACAUCUAGUAGACGUGUAGAUGUAGAUGCACGCAGUGGUGUUGCUGAACAUUGCCUAUUAGGUCGUAUGCACGACCUCUUUAUAUCUCAUAAAAGACAACUAGUAGAAAUCCUGUUCUUAUUUUAGGAAAUAUUUGAUGCUGAACACUCGGUUAACUCGGUUGUUACGUGGGCUCUUCGUGGAGUUGGUUGGUUUAUGUUGUUUUUUGGCUUUGUAAUGAUGACAAGCAUACUGACUACAUUAGUGUCUUGGCUUCCUAUAGUACGAGAGUUAGUCGGGCUUGGCGUCAUCAUCACAUGUCUUUGUCUCUCGACAUCAUUAUCCUUGGUUACCAUAGCAAUCGGAUGGAUUGCCCAUAGACCUUUACUAGGCAUGGCACUAUUGGCAGCUGCCGCUGUACCCAUUUUACUAUCAAAAUUCAAACAAGGCGGAAAGAAGAAAGAAUCAAAGCUCUGAAAUCUAGACUAAAUACUAGAAUAUUGCCGCCAAACAGACUGAAAAUCGAAUUAUUAGCAAAUGUCACACCACACCACACCACACCACACCACACAACACUAUAUUACAUUAUACUCACUAAACUUGAACCUCCACUAAACACACCGCCUCGUGUGUGUGUCGACGGGGACUAGGAAAAUUGUCAGUUGACAGAGUGGACCCCAACUCUCCCUCCCCCAUAGAUCAUAUGACUGCAUCGUACAUUUGUAAAACUAUUUAUUCAUAGAACGCGCACAUAUGCAAUGUUUGUAGUAAGAGCAGAAGAUCACGCCAAUAUUUAUAGAUGGUAAAUUUAGAAAUAAUAAAAUGAUAAGCGAGACCAA